Molecule: ribosomal RNA, 384 nt
Filed under: uncultured bacterium
Lineage: Bacteria
Description: partial 16S ribosomal RNA
Rfam family: Bacterial small subunit ribosomal RNA
Source: RNAcentral
GGGGAUAUUGCACAAUGGAGGAAACUCUGAUGCAGCAACGCCGCGUGAAGGAUGAAGGUCUUCGGAUUGUAAACUUUUGUACUUGGGGACGAUAAUGACGGUACCCAAGCAGCAAGCUCCGGCUAACUACGUGCCAGCAGCCGCGGUAAUACGUAGGGAGCAAGCGUUGUCCGGAUUUACUGGGUGUAAAGGGUGCGUAGGCGGCUAUGCAAGUCAGUUGUGAAAACUAUGGGCUCAACCCAUAGCCUGCAAUUGAAACUGCGUGGCUUGAGUGAAGUAGAGGUAGGUGGAAUUCCCGGUGUAGCGGUGAAAUGCGUAGAGAUCGGGAGGAACACCAGUGGCGAAGGCGACCUACUGGGCUUUAACUGACGCUGAGGCACGAAA